RNAcentral lists this ribosomal RNA (468 nucleotides) under uncultured bacterium. Its description in RNAcentral is "partial 16S ribosomal RNA". It matches the Rfam family "Bacterial small subunit ribosomal RNA", at positions 28 to 507 of the family's 1533-position model. The record is from RNAcentral.
GACGAACGCUGGCGGCGUGCUUAACACAUGCAAGUCGAACGGAAAGGCCCUGCUUUUGUGGGGUGCUCGAGUGGCGAACGGGUUAGUAACACGUGAGUAACCUGCCCUUGACUUUGGGAUAACUUCAGGAAACUGGGGCUAAUACCGGAUAGGAGCUCCUGCUGCCUGGUUGGGGUUGGAAAGUUUCGGCGGUUGGGGUUAGACUCGCGGCUUAUCAGCUUGUUGGUGGGGUAGUGGCUUACCAAGGCUUUGACGGGUAGCCGGCCUGAGAGGGUGACCGGCCAUAAUGGGAAUGAGAUACAGCCCAGAGUGCGACGGGAGGAAGAAGUGGGGAAUAUUGAACAAUGGGAGGAAGACUGAUGCAGCAACGCCGAAGGCGGGAUGAAGGGAUUCGGGUGGUAAACCGAAAAAGCAUGUGACGAAGCGUGAGUGAAGGUAAUGGGUAAAGAAGAACAGGCUAAAUACGUG